AACGAGGCCGACCUGCGGCUGAGUUACCUGCGGAAGGAUCAUUACUGAGUACUACACUCUCUACCCUUUGUGAACUAUUAUACCUGUUGCUUCGGCGGCGCCCGCGAGGGUGCCCGCCGGUCUCAUCAGAAUCUCUGUUUUCGAACCCGACGAUACUUCUGAGUGUUCUUAGCGAACUGUCAAAACUUUCAACAACGGAUCU
Molecule: unclassified non-coding RNA, 202 nt
Filed under: soil metagenome
Description: partial contains 5.8S ribosomal RNA, internal transcribed spacer 2, and large subunit ribosomal RNA
Source: RNAcentral